RNAcentral lists this ribosomal RNA (491 nucleotides) under uncultured bacterium. Its description in RNAcentral is "partial 16S ribosomal RNA". It matches the Rfam family "Bacterial small subunit ribosomal RNA", at positions 29 to 506 of the family's 1533-position model. The record is from RNAcentral.
AGUGAACGCUGGCGGUAGGCCUAACACAUGCAAGUCGAACGGCAGCACAGUAAGAGCUUGCUCUUACGGGUGGCGAGUGGCGGACGGGUGAGGAAUACAUCGGAAUCUACUUUUUCGUGGGGGACAACGUAGGGAAACUUACGCUAAUACCGCAUACGAUCUACGGGUGAAAGCAGUGGAUCUUCGGACCUUGCGCGAUUGAAUGAGCCGAUGUCGGAUUAGCUAGUUGGCGGGGUAAAGGCCCACCAAGGCGACGAUCCGUAGCUGGUCUGAGAGGAUGAUCGGCCACACUGGAACUGAGACACGGUCCAGACUCCUACGGGAGGCAGCAGUGGGGAAUAUUGGACAAUGGGCGCAAGCCUGAUGCAGCCAUACCGCGUGGGUGAAGAAGGCCUUCGGGUUGUAAAGCCCUUUUGUUGGGAAAGAAAAGCAGCAGGUUAAUACCCCGCUGUUCUGACGGUACCCAAAGAAUAAGCACCGGCUAACUUCGU